This 481-nucleotide ribosomal RNA is filed under the name uncultured Flavobacteriales bacterium. RNAcentral describes it as "bacterial SSU rRNA". It matches the Rfam family "Bacterial small subunit ribosomal RNA", at positions 28 to 505 of the family's 1533-position model. Lineage: Bacteria; Pseudomonadati; Bacteroidota; Flavobacteriia; Flavobacteriales. The record is from RNAcentral.
GAUGAACGCUAGCGGCAGGCUUAACACAUGCAAGUCGAACGGUAAGUUAGAAGCUUGCUUCUAACACGAGUGGCGCACGGGUGCGUAACGCGUAUGCAAUCUACCCUUUUCUGGAGAAUAGCCCUUAGAAAUGAGGAUUAAUACUCCAUAGUAUUACAAUUUCGCAUGUUAUUGUAAUUAAAGCUUCGGCGGAAAAGGAUGAGCAUGCGUCCCAUUAGUUUGUUGGUGAGGUAAUGGCUCACCAAGACUUCGAUGGGUAGGGGGCCUGAGAGGGUUAUCCCCCACACUGGUACUGAGACACGGACCAGACUCCUACGGGAGGCAGCAGUGAGGAAUAUUGGUCAAUGGACGAAAGUCUGAACCAGCCAUGCCGCGUGCAGGAUGACGGCCCUAUGGGUUGUAAACUGCUUUUAUAUAGGAAGAAACCUCUUUACGUGUAAAGAGCUGACGGUACUAUAAGAAUAAGGACCGGCUAACUCCG